Molecule: ribosomal RNA, 432 nt
Filed under: uncultured bacterium
Lineage: Bacteria
Description: partial 16S ribosomal RNA
Rfam family: Bacterial small subunit ribosomal RNA
Source: RNAcentral
AACGAACGCUGGCGGCAUGCCUAACACAUGCAAGUCGAACGAGACCUUCGGGUCUAGUGGCGCACGGGUGCGUAACGCGUGGGAACCUGCCCUUAGGUUCGGAAUAACUCCCCGAAAGGGGUGCUAAUACCGGAUAAUGUCUUUGGACCAAAGAUUUAUCGCCUUUGGAUGGGCCCGCGUUGGAUUAGCUAGUUGGUAGGGUAAAAGCCUACCAAGGCGACGAUCCAUAGCUGGUCUGAGAGGAUGAUCAGCCACACUGGGACUGAGACACGGCCCAGACUCCUACGGGAGGCAGCAGUGGGGAAUAUUGGACAAUGGGCGAAAGCCUGAUCCAGCAAUGCCGCGUGAGUGAUGAAGGCCUUAGGGUUGUAAAGCUCUUUUACCCGGGAUGAUAAUGACAGUACCGGGAGAAUAAGCUCCGGCUAACUCCGU